This 436-nucleotide long non-coding RNA is filed under the name Monodelphis domestica (gray short-tailed opossum). RNAcentral describes it as "lncRNA (ENSMODG00000043231.1)". The record is from RNAcentral. Lineage: Eukaryota; Metazoa; Chordata; Mammalia; Didelphimorphia; Didelphidae.
AGCUCAACAUCAAAUAAAAUUGAAUUUUAAACAAAAAAAUCCUGGUUCUAAGUAUCCAGUAUUUCUCCUGUAUCCUCUCUAAUCAGAGACCUAGAGCUAGAAAGGACCUUAGAGGACAUCUCCUGCACCUCCAUUUUACAGAUCAAGAAACUGAGGCCCAUAGAAGUUUGCCUUUCCAUUGGGUCCACAGUGCUAGGCACACGAUGAAGAAACUGAGAGAUCUGACCUCAAGGCUCAUUAAUACUCCAUCAGCCUAAUCUAGUCAAUCAGCAGAGCAGAGAAGAAGCCCCUUCAGGACAGAAUAGCCCAAACCCACAGAUCCUGCAAAUAAUCAGAGGAGCAACAUUCCAGCCAAUGACAGGGGGCAAAGAAGGAAAAAAAUAUGAGUAAACAGCAGAAAAAGAAAAAAUAAAUUAUAAUUGACAGCUUCUAUCCA